UACGUAGGGUGCGAGCGUUAAUCGGAAUUACUGGGCGUAAAGCGUGCGCAGGCGGUUUUGUAAGCCAGAUGUGAAAUCCCCGGGCUUAACCUGGGAAUGGCAUUUGGGACUGCAAGGCUUGAGUGCGGCAGAGGAGACUGGAAUUCCUGGUGUAGCAGUGAAAUGCGUAGAUAUCAGGAGGAGCACCGAUGGCGAAGGCAGGUCUCUGGGCUGACACUGACGCUCAUGCACGAAAGCGUGGGGAGCAAACAGG
RNAcentral lists this ribosomal RNA (253 nucleotides) under uncultured bacterium. RNAcentral describes it as "partial 16S ribosomal RNA". It matches the Rfam family "Bacterial small subunit ribosomal RNA", at positions 524 to 776 of the family's 1533-position model. The record is from RNAcentral.